This is a non-coding RNA of Struthio camelus australis, 326 nucleotides long. Lineage: Eukaryota; Metazoa; Chordata; Aves; Struthioniformes; Struthionidae. The record is from RefSeq and is a predicted model, not a curated record.
GACCACUACCACGCCGACGUGGCCUACCACAACAGCACCCACGCCGCCGAUGUGGCCCAGUCCACGCACGUCCUCCUCUCCACGCCGGCACUGGAGGCUGUCUUCACGGACCUGGAGAUCAUGGCUGCCAUCUUCGCCAGCGCCAUCCACGACGUUGACCACCCAGGCGGCUCCAACCAGUUCCUCAUCAACACCCACUCAGAGCUGGCCCUGAUGUACAACGACUCCUCGGUGCUGGAGAACCACCAUCUGGCUGUGGGCUUCAAGCUGCUCCAGGAGGAGAACUGCGACAUCUUCCAAAACCUCAGCAAGAAGCAGAGGCAGUC